CAGCAGCGCGGUAAUACGGAGGGUGCAAGCGUUAAUCGGAAUUACUGGGCGUAAAGCGCACGCAGGCGGUUUGUUAAGUCAGAUGUGAAAUCCCCGAGCUUAACUUGGGAACUGCAUUUGAAACUGGCAAGCUAGAGUCUUGUAGAGGGGGGUAGAAUUCCAGGUGUAGCGGUGAAAUGCGUAGAGAUCUGGAGGAAUACCGGUGGCGAAGGCGGCCCCCUGGACAAAGACUGACGCUCAGGUGCGAAAGCGUGGGGAGCAAACAGGAUUAGAUACCCCUGUAGUCCCUGUCUCUUAUACA
RNAcentral lists this ribosomal RNA (301 nucleotides) under uncultured bacterium. RNAcentral describes it as "partial 16S ribosomal RNA". It matches the Rfam family "Bacterial small subunit ribosomal RNA", at positions 509 to 808 of the family's 1533-position model. The record is from RNAcentral.